This 253-nucleotide ribosomal RNA is filed under the name uncultured prokaryote. RNAcentral's name for it is "partial 16S ribosomal RNA". It matches the Rfam family "Bacterial small subunit ribosomal RNA", at positions 525 to 777 of the family's 1533-position model. The record is from RNAcentral.
ACGUAGGGUGCAAGCGUUGUCCGGAAUUAUUGGGCGUAAAGAGCUCGUAGGCGGCCUGUCGCGUCCACUGUGCAAUCCCGGGGCUCAACUCCGGAACCGCAGUGGAUACGGGCAGGCUAGAGGCAGGCAGGGGAGAGUGGAAUUCCCGGUGUAGCGGUGAAAUGCGCAGAUAUCGGGAGGAACACCAGUGGCGAAGGCGGCUCUCUGGGCCUGACCUGACGCUGAGGAGCGAAAGCGUGGGGAUCAAACAGGA